RNAcentral lists this ribosomal RNA (1149 nucleotides) under Leuconostoc mesenteroides. RNAcentral's name for it is "bacterial SSU rRNA". It matches the Rfam family "Bacterial small subunit ribosomal RNA", at positions 46 to 1178 of the family's 1533-position model. Lineage: Bacteria; Bacillati; Bacillota; Bacilli; Lactobacillales; Lactobacillaceae. The record is from RNAcentral.
GCCUAAUACAUGCAAGUCGAACGCACAGCGAAAGGUGCUUGCACCUUUCAAGUGAGUGGCGAACGGGUGAGUAACACGUGGACAACCUGCCUCAAGGCUGGGGAUAACAUUUGGAAACAGAUGCUAAUACCGAAUAAAACUUAGUGUCGCAUGACACAAAGUUAAAAGGCGCUUCGGCGUCACCUAGAGAUGGAUCCGCGGUGCAUUAGUUAGUUGGUGGGGUAAAGGCCUACCAAGACAAUGAUGCAUAGCCGAGUUGAGAGACUGAUCGGCCACAUUGGGACUGAGACACGGCCCAAACUCCUACGGGAGGCUGCAGUAGGGAAUCUUCCACAAUGGGCGAAAGCCUGAUGGAGCAACGCCGCGUGUGUGAUGAAGGCUUUCGGGUCGUAAAGCACUGUUGUAUGGGAAGAACAGCUAGAAUAGGAAAUGAUUUUAGUUUGACGGUACCAUACCAGAAAGGGACGGCUAAAUACGUGCCAGCAGCCGCGGUAAUACGUAUGUCCCGAGCGUUAUCCGGAUUUAUUGGGCGUAAAGCGAGCGCAGACGGUUUAUUAAGUCUGAUGUGAAAGCCCGGAGCUCAACUCCGGAAUGGCAUUGGAAACUGGUUAACUUGAGUGCAGUAGAGGUAAGUGGAACUCCAUGUGUAGCGGUGGAAUGCGUAGAUAUAUGGAAGAACACCAGUGGCGAAGGCGGCUUACUGGACUGCAACUGACGUUGAGGCUCGAAAGUGUGGGUAGCAAACAGGAUUAGAUACCCUGGUAGUCCACACCGUAAACGAUGAACACUAGGUGUUAGGAGGUUUCCGCCUCUUAGUGCCGAAGCUAACGCAUUAAGUGUUCCGCCUGGGGAGUACGACCGCAAGGUUGAAACUCAAAGGAAUUGACGGGGACCCGCACAAGCGGUGGAGCAUGUGGUUUAAUUCGAAGCAACGCGAAGAACCUUACCAGGUCUUGACAUCCUUUGAAGCUUUAGAAGAUAGAAGUGUUCUCUUCGGAGACAAGUGACAGGUGGUGCAUGGUCGUCGUCAGCUCGUGUCGUGAGAUGUUGGGUUAAGUCCCGCAACGAGCGCAACCCUUAUUGUUAGUUGCCAGCAUUCAGAUGGGCACUCUAGCGAGACUGCCGGUGACAAACCGGAGGAAGGCGGGG